This 1247-nucleotide long non-coding RNA is filed under the name Equus asinus (donkey). Its description in RNAcentral is "lncRNA (ENSEASG00005031238.1)". The record is from RNAcentral. Lineage: Eukaryota; Metazoa; Chordata; Mammalia; Perissodactyla; Equidae.
UUGUGGGACAAACCAUCCUAAAACUUAGUGGCUUAAAACAACAAUGAUUUUAUUAUUUCUCACAUUGCUAUAGAUCAGGGCAGGCAGGCCCAUUGAACCCACCCCAAAUUACAAAACUAGUGAAUGGAAGAGUUGAAAUCGAAACCCACACAGCCUGGUUCCAGAAGCUGAGUGUUUGACCCCUGAGGGUGACACCGAAGGAGGGAGGAAGGUAGGAAGAGUCAAGACCGCAUGCAGUGGAGGAAGGACACAUCUCCUCCAGCUGUCUCUGGCUCCAGCUCCACCAGUGGCAGAGACUGCCCCCCAGCCAAAGCCCCUGGCCACGUCCCCGACUCCUCCACAGGCCAGCAGGGAGGCACGUCGGUUUCUCCAUCACCCAUGGUCUCGGGCCAGCCUGCGGGAGGACAUCCUAUUUCCUGGCAUGUGAUUUUGCCCACAAUAAAAACAGCCAUUUUCAAUAGUGUGCAGGCAUCUUAGCUUCUCAUUGUUGUGACUCUUCUCAGUGCAGUGUGCGAUCUGGGCUCUGUCCGUCAAAGUGCGUUUCCUGAAAGAAGAGCAGAUUUUCCCACAAAGAACACAAAACUCUUAGUUGAUUUAAAAUAACAAUUUGUUCAACCGGAACACCCCUUUUCAUGAUGGGCCUAGGGAAUAGCGUAAACCAGGGUCAGCAAACUUUUUCUGCAGAGGAUCCGGUAGUGAAUAUUUCAGGCUUUGUUGUCUGUAAGUCUGUCUCCUCUGCGCAACUCCGUCAUGGUACAGCUCCGUACUGUACUGUAUAGUGUAUACUGUACAGUAUAAAAAUGAAGGGGUAUGCUUGUGUUCCAACAAAGCGUUAUGGACGCCAAAAUCGUUUCAUAUAAUUUUAAUGUAUCACGAAAAGGUCUUAUUUUUUAUUCAACCACUUAAAACUGUAAAAACGAUUCUUAACUCUCUGGCCAUACAAAAACAGGCAGCAGGUUGGACUGUGGUGAAGCCCCGGUGCGAACUCCCCGUCUUAGAGGAUAUCCGAAGGGUAGAAACAGUUAGAAAUGGAAAGCUCCUAUCCACGUUACCAACCGCCCAAACCCCAGAGCCGGCUGAGGGAUCGGCCAGUCCCCGGGAGGACCGGGCAUCCGUACAAGACAGGAAACUGAUCGUUCUUUCAAGCACAGAAGUUUUUGCCUUAAAGGUCCUGGGGGUCAAUUCAGAGGCCGCAGAGAAACGUUUGGGGCUGGCCUCGCCCGCCGCCGCGCCGGGAGGGCCUGUCG